This is a long non-coding RNA of Cyclopterus lumpus (lumpfish), 749 nucleotides long. RefSeq lists it as uncharacterized. The transcript is spliced from 3 exons. The record is from RefSeq and is a predicted model, not a curated record. Lineage: Eukaryota; Metazoa; Chordata; Actinopteri; Perciformes; Cyclopteridae.
ACUCCCCAUCUACCAGUUGCUCAAUGAUAUUGAAGUGGUCGGUGUUCGCCACAUCCUCCAUGGUCACGUUAAGUCCUGACGCCUCUAAAGUCUUUAAAGCCAGAAGAAAGAGGUAAAGUUGCAUGCACUGCAGUAAGGAACGUACUCUGUCAUCUUCAAAGGUUCGUUGAUGUAGGUGGACAAGAUGGGCAGGAGGUCAUAUAUGCCACUAACAAGAAAAGCACCUGUUCGACAGAUGGAGACAAAACUAGAUCAGGUAUACGUCUUUGCGUCUCAACUUUGCAUUUCUUGUCCCAUUUUACCGGAUGGACCUUACCUUUGAUCUGAGGAGUGAUGCUGUACUGCGACCAGUCAGUGGAGAGGACCAUUGCAGCCAGCAAGACAAACAAUCUUAUCGGAAAUGAAGAGACUCUACCUUUGGGGGCGGUGUCAUAAUCAACAGCAACCACCACUACACCUUUGUCAACGAGUGGAACAGCCAUGAAUCCUGACUCCUCCUUGCUGUACGAGCACACAGCAUCAAUCAGACAAACCUGAACAAGACAUUUAAAUCUGCAAUGUCGAAGACAACACAACAUUACCUGAGAAACUGCCAGUAGCCUCCAUGUAGGUAAAUGACAAGGGGGACAUCUGAAACAGAGGGAAUCAGGCCUGUUAAUCCUCACGCAUUAUGUAAGCUUCUGCUAUUUGAAGCAUGCCAAGGGAGGGUAGUUGGUGUCAUGGCAGUCACACAUGCCAAUACCCAAAGA